Molecule: ribosomal RNA, 110 nt
Filed under: Periophthalmus magnuspinnatus
Lineage: Eukaryota; Metazoa; Chordata; Actinopteri; Gobiiformes; Gobiidae
Source: RNAcentral
UAAUGCGCCCACACUGGCUUGUCAAAACCUGAUCUCAUCAGAUCUCAGACGCUAAGCGAGACUAGGCCUGGUUAGUACUUGGAUGAGAGAAAAAGCAAGUGCCACAGUGG